AACGAACGCUGGCGGCAGGCUUAACACAUGCAAGUCGAACGGUUGUAGCAAUACAGCAGUGGCGCACGGGUGAGUAACGCGUGGAUAUCUGCCUUUUGGUUCGGAAUAACUCCGGGAAACUGGAGCUAAUACCGGAUGGUUCCUACGGGAUAAAGAUUUAUCGCCAAAAGAUGAGUCCGCGUACGAUUAGCUAGUUGGUGAGGUAAUGGCUCACCAAGGCGACGAUCGUUAGCUGGUCUGAGAGGACGAUCAGCCACACUGGGACUGAGACACGGCCCAGGACUCCUACGGGAGGCAGCAGUGGGGAAUAUUGGACAAUGGGGGCAACCCGUGAUCCAGCCAUGCCGCGUGAGUGAUGAAGGCCUUCGGUGUAAG
Molecule: ribosomal RNA, 375 nt
Filed under: uncultured bacterium
Lineage: Bacteria
Description: bacterial SSU rRNA
Rfam family: Bacterial small subunit ribosomal RNA
Source: RNAcentral